UACGUAGGGUGCGAGCGUUAAUCGGAAUUACUGGGCGUAAAGCGUGCGCAGGCGGUUCGUUGUGUCGGUGGUGAAAUCCCCGGGCUUAACCUGGGAAUGGCCAUGGAAACUGGCGAACUGGAGUGCGGCAGAGGGGGGUGGAAUUCCCGGUGUAGCAGUGAAAUGCGUAGAUAUCGGGAGGAACAUCUGUGGCGAAGGCGACACCCUGGACCAGCACUGACACUGAGGCACGAAAGCGUGGGGAGCAAACAGG
Molecule: ribosomal RNA, 253 nt
Filed under: uncultured bacterium
Lineage: Bacteria
Description: partial 16S ribosomal RNA
Rfam family: Bacterial small subunit ribosomal RNA
Source: RNAcentral